UUCGUUGCUCGAACGGUCUCAAGGCCUCCCCGUCGUUGUCUCUGUCUUCCUUCCUUUCUCCAAAUCCGCGAGAGGAAGACGAGAAGAAGAAGAAGAAGAAGAAGAAGAAGAUCAAGACCACCGAGAUGUUGGAGUUGUUAAUCUUGGGAUGCGCCGGCGUGGUGGUCUUCCUCCACUCGGCCAACCUCUUCUUCCGCGCCAUCUCGAAGCGGGCCGUCACGCGAUCCCUCAGCUUCUUGGGAUUCGUCGGAUGAGGGUAGGGCUUGGGUGUGUGGAAUACCUAAUUUGAACUGAUGAAGGCGAAGCGUAUAUUAUCUACAGAUCCCAUCAGUUAUGAUAACUACGAUCGAUUGCUUCGCUUUUACCUUGUAUUGAAAUAUUCUCUAUUAAUUUCUUUUAGGGGAAAUUGUGUAUAUAUGUGUGGGAAUUAUAUAUUUGUAAGUGUCAUUAGAUUGUUAAUUGGAUGAUUCAUCUUGCAUCAAACAAGCAAUGAUAGUGCUACCUGGGUGGAUUGAUAGAAAA
Long non-coding RNA from Musa acuminata subsp. malaccensis (wild Malaysian banana), 522 nucleotides. RefSeq lists it as uncharacterized. NCBI's taxonomy places the organism in Eukaryota, Viridiplantae, Streptophyta, Magnoliopsida, Zingiberales, Musaceae. The record is from RefSeq and is a predicted model, not a curated record.